Molecule: ribosomal RNA, 409 nt
Filed under: bacterium
Lineage: Bacteria
Description: partial 16S ribosomal RNA
Rfam family: Bacterial small subunit ribosomal RNA
Source: RNAcentral
UGGGGAAUAUUGCACAAUGGGCGAAAGCCUGAUGCAGCGACGCCGCGUGAGGGAUGACGGCCUUCGGGUUGUAAACCUCUUUCAGUAGGGACGAAGCGCAAGUGACGGUACCUGCAGAAGAAGCACCGGCUAACUACGUGCCAGCAGCCGCGGUAAUACGUAGGGUGCGAGCGUUGUCCGGAAUUACUGGGCGUAAAGAGCUCGUAGGCGGUUUGUCACGUCGUCUGUGAAAUCCUAGGGCUUAACCCUGGACGUGCAGGCGUUACGGGCUGACUUGAGUACUACAGGGGAGACUGGAAUUUCUGGUGUAGCGGUGGAAUGCACAGAUAUCAGGAAGAACACCGAUGGCGAAGGCAGGUCUCUGGGUAGUAACUGACGCUGAGGAGCGAAAGCAUGGGUAGCGAACAGG